Neopsephotus bourkii (Bourke's parrot) is the source of this 1551-nucleotide long non-coding RNA. RefSeq lists it as uncharacterized. Lineage: Eukaryota; Metazoa; Chordata; Aves; Psittaciformes; Psittacidae. The record is from RefSeq and is a predicted model, not a curated record. The transcript is spliced from 3 exons.
UCUUAAGGCAUUACAUAACCUCACAACUGCAGAGCAGUGCCAGGGAUGUCCCCACUGCUGUUGGUUCCAUUGUACAGGUCCCGCUGUGCAUUCCCCUGAUGUACUACACUGACAGAGUUAUAGCAUAUACCAUGCCACAGUUCCAACUAGAAGAAAAAUUAAGCCCUGGCCAGAAUAAAGAAGAUUGGAACCCAUUCAGGGAAACUGUAAUGUUCAGGCAUGCCUUGUCAAUCUUCCCUCUCAAAAAAGGUGUUUGCAGCAGCUGCCCCAGAAGAGGCUGAAAAACCCCAACUCUCACCCUGUCUUCGUAUCAGAAGUGCUCCAGCCCUUCUAUGAAACAGUAAGUGUAUUUGAAGGAAUGAGGCAUCUGUGUGGGUUAAUAGCCUGCUUCUAGUUAUCCUUCAUGCUCACAUUAGUAGAGAAAAGCAGUGUCAGAAGUAGCCUGAGGAGAAAGGAACAAUACUGGGAGCUGUCAGGAGUUACAGUUAUCAGCACAUAGCUGGAAAUUUGAUAAAAGAGCCUGCUCAAAAAUAGCAUGAAAAUUAUUCUGGUUUUAUAGAUUAUAGACAUAGUUGUCUGCUUUCCCAGCAUUUAAUUGUUUGGGGGUUUGUUACCCCUAUAUAUGUAUCUAUGUCACAGUCUAUACAGUGUUUAAUGUACUGUUUAUAGAUUUGUGUUGUGUCAAAGAUUGGAAAGACACCCACCACGUGGCUGCUCAGCGCCUGGAUUUCACAUGUUGUCCCCAGGCCUCAGCACGUUCUUGUGGGAGCUUGUAGGCUGGGAGUGGGCAGAGGGGUGGAGAUGAACCACAGCUUUCCUUCCAACCUAAUGAGUGCCUGCCAGCACAGCUGAGCUGGCAGAGUGAGUGUUGUCAAUUGCUUCUGGCAUAGUCCACAUGACUCGUUCCCAUUUCCCAGAGCCAAGGAAGAGCAAGAAAAACAUGCACCAUACAAGCAAACUCAUUUAAUGCAGAGACCUCAUGAGGCUGCAAAAAUGUUGGUUGGCUACCCCCUGCAGCUCAUGCAGGAUUGCUGCGAAAACGAGCGUGAACAUGGGCAGGUGUCAAAGCAACCAAAAUAUACUGAGAUAAAUAGUCUCUUACCUAUCUGUAAUGGUAGCCCUAUACAGUUAGGUGCCUGUGUGUGGGAACAUAGGGUGAAUGUCCCUGCACUCUUGGAGUCAGUGAUGAGAGGGAGGUGACUGCAGUCACCAGCGUAUCUUUUUCAAGUGGCCCUUGGGAUAAGCCCUUUUUCUCUGAUACCCAUGGAGUGAAUUUAAUGAAACUAGGCAGCUACUGCAGGUGCAAACAUUAGGUGGUAUGACUGCCACAUUUUCUUCCCCUGCAUGUUUCAUGGAGUCACUGAGGUUGGAGGGAGCCUCCAGAGAUGCUCUAGUUUAACCCCUUGAUCAAGCAGGGGCAGCUGGAGAUGGUUGCUGAGAGCUGUGUCCAGUUGGACAUUGAGUAUCUUCAAGGAUGGCAAGUACACAACAUUUCUGGAUAACCUGUUCCAGUGUUUCAUCACCUGCAUGAUAAAAAAGUGUUUACUCACA